AUGUUAAGAAGUAACAUGAAAUUACUGACUUUAUUAGAGUGGUAGUAAUGUCGUCUUUUCUUCAGACACUGUCUGUAGAUGGAAAAGGGACUACAUCAUCAGACUGAUUCAGUUCUACAAGUUCAAAAUUGAGGACUCUGCUGAACAUUGAGGAAAAAUACCGUAUUGGGAGAAGAUGGCAAGAGUCUGAUUCAAACUUCCAGUCUACCCUUAAAGAUGUGGACCGUGAGCUCAGAGUCCAACUGUAAGGCUAGAACUGAAUCAAGGGAGAGAGCAGUCGUCCUCCACCUGAGAAGAAUAUAUCCAGCUUUGCUUCAGAUGGGCAGGCCAUUGCCAUUAGACUCUCCAAGCAGGUAGCCAAUUGAUUUUCAGGAAUCAUGUGAUCCCUCUUGGCAUGUCUACUUCUGCUUUAAUGACACUAUUGAAGAAGAUGAUGUUUCGAGGAGUCUAAAAAGGCGAGGGAUUGAUGCC
Non-coding RNA from Paramisgurnus dabryanus, 471 nucleotides. The record is from RefSeq and is a predicted model, not a curated record. NCBI's taxonomy places the organism in Eukaryota, Metazoa, Chordata, Actinopteri, Cypriniformes, Cobitidae.